CCUCCGAUAGCUCACUGGUAGAGCAUCCGGUAAGAAUCCUGGAGAUGCUGGUUCGACUCCAGCUCGGAGGG
This 71-nucleotide transfer RNA is filed under the name Stereum hirsutum FP-91666 SS1. RNAcentral's name for it is "tRNA-Ser (AGA) (tRNA-Ser-AGA-4-1)". It matches the Rfam family "tRNA". From Rfam's summary of the family: Transfer RNA (tRNA) molecules are approximately 80 nucleotides in length. Their secondary structure includes four short double-helical elements and three loops (D, anti-codon, and T loops). The record is from RNAcentral. Lineage: Eukaryota; Fungi; Basidiomycota; Agaricomycetes; Russulales; Stereaceae.